AUUGAACGCUGGCGGAAUGCUUUACACAUGCAAGUCGAGCGGCAGCGCGGGGCAACCUGGCGGCGAGCGGCGAACGGGUGAGUAAUGCAUCGGAACAUGUCCAUGUCGUGGGGGAUAGCCCGGCGAAAGCCGGAUUAAUACCGCAUACGCCCGAGAGGGGAAAGUGGGGGACCGCAAGGCCUCACGCGAUUGGGUUGGCCGAUGUCCGAUUAGCUAGUUGGCGGGGUAAGAGCCCACCAAGGCGAUGAUCGGUAGCUGGUCUGAGAGGAUGAUCAGCCACACUGGGACUGAGACACGGCCCAGACUCCUACGGGAGGCAGCAGUGGGAAUUUUGGACAAUGGGGGCAACCCUGAUCCAGCCAUUCCGCGUGAGUGAAGAAGGCCU
RNAcentral lists this ribosomal RNA (385 nucleotides) under uncultured bacterium. RNAcentral's name for it is "bacterial SSU rRNA". It matches the Rfam family "Bacterial small subunit ribosomal RNA", at positions 29 to 417 of the family's 1533-position model. The record is from RNAcentral.